CUCACGUGGACGCCGAGCCCUGCCACCACGUCGAGGUCCCCCGAGAACAUUCAUGGCAGGGGUGGGGGAACCACGUUUCCCGGGCGACGCCGGACCACCAGGUCCGGUCGAGCCCUUGGGGUGAAGCCGGUGCGAACCGGCCGGGCGAUACUCCCGCCCGAACCCGACAGCUCACCUCGCAGGCGUCGGAGAGGCCACCA
Non-coding RNA from Kineococcus radiotolerans, 200 nucleotides. The record is from Rfam. Lineage: Bacteria; Bacillati; Actinomycetota; Actinomycetes; Kineosporiales; Kineosporiaceae.